This is a long non-coding RNA of Cavia porcellus (domestic guinea pig), 3420 nucleotides long. RefSeq lists it as uncharacterized. The transcript is spliced from 4 exons. The record is from RefSeq and is a predicted model, not a curated record. Lineage: Eukaryota; Metazoa; Chordata; Mammalia; Rodentia; Caviidae.
CUGAGUUCAGGCCAGGCGCUCAAUCAGCAGCAGCAUGACUGAGCAUUUCCUAGAGCCAACCAUGCCGAGGUAACAUGUCAUGGAUUUUCACAGGGUGUUCACUAACUGUGCAAGGAUUUCAAAGUCCAGUAUAUUGAGUUUCACGUGCUCUUCACCAGACCGAGAAGGGUGGAGUUCCUGGCAGCUGGGAAAAGGCAGGGAAGCAUAGAAGGCAAGUGUCUGAACGUUUCCACCAAAGAUCAGGCCUUGGAAGGUUAAAUGCAUGCCCUCCCCGUGGAAACAGAACGGGACAGAUGACCUGGCAGUGCCAGGCUUCAGAAGCUGGCUGUCACCUGUCCAGAGAGGAAAAUCCCCACUCGAAUCUGCCCAGGUGGGGCGACUGUUGCAGAGAUCUUUAAUGCUAAGAUGUUUUCAGUGUCAGCUGUGGCACAAGUGAGUUCGGGGACCCCACCCCUCAUGUAGAGGCAGCUUGCUAGAAUUUUGCAAGAUCGGAAACCCAGAGAAUGAAAAACUGCUCGGAUCAGCACCUCCCACUCAGCCAUUCUGGUCUUGAAGAGUUACCUGGGCUAGGCUUAAACUUACUAUCCUCCAGCCUUGGCCUCCCAGAGUUCUGGAAUUACAGGAGGCAAAUCAGCACAACUCUUCAAGGUAUCCCAGGUGAACCGUGUUCCUAUCCCUCAGCAUUGAGUUCAGAAAGUUCUUGAACCAGCUUACGCCAGCCUGAAGUCUGAACGUUGAGCCUCUUGACAUGAGUAUACAGCAUACUGUGUCCUGGAUUACUCCACGAUGGAUAAGGCAAAUAGAAGCAUGGAUACUAUCCAGACCAUUCUCAGAAGAGCUCAGAAGAUGAUGUUUCUACUAUUUUUCUUUAAGAAGAAACUUUUAGGAAGUUUUGCUCAGGGACCUAGAAUUUCUCUGAAAGAUCACAAAUAUUCCCUGCCUAAGUUUGACAUUACAGCACAUACUGACAUCAAUAACUAAUAGGUAUUACACACCAUCUUACACUGCAAGUUGCCAGUAUGAUUUUUUUUAAAGAGUAAAAGUAUUUAUUGACAGAAAGAAAGCUUCUGUCUGAGAGCUAGAAGGGGUCCUGAGUGGGUUGCCUGCAAGUAUGCUUUAUGAAUUUAAAUUAAUAUUGGGAAAUAUGACUGAUAUGGUAAUGAAAAGAUUUUGGGAGAACCAGUUGUGGGGCUCUUGAGAAUUACAAUUGACAAAAUAUAGGAAGAUGGUUGGAACAUCCAUUAUGAAAUAACUUUCCAGCUCAGCAUUUUAGAAAUCUAAUGUUUUUCAGCAUUCUCAAAGAAAAGUUAACUCUAGAAAUUAAGCUGGUAUCUGGAUAAUAAGAAUCCAGAAUUACAACAAAAAUGUAAUAUGAAUUGAAUGGAGGAGAGAAGAGCAAGCAGAUGCUGGUCGACCUCGGCAGUGAAGGCAAAUUAUAUUUUUUUCUUAUGGUGCUGCAUUUGCAGGCCAGACAGAUCCUCUACCGUGAGUUAUACCCCUAUGACAGAAGACACAUUGGUGGGGCUGGGGAUUUAGCUCAGCGGCAUAAGCACCUGCCUUGUAAGCAGGCAGUUGUGAGUUUGAUCCCUGGUAUCGAAAAAGACCAAAAAAAAGACACACUGGCUCAAUCAUUCUUUCAAUUAUUGUUUAUCUAACUAAUUAUGUUUGUGGGAGAAUGGAAUUUUCUAUUCCACUUAUAAUCUUUCUCCUAUCACAAUGAAGAGAGGGCCUUGGAAAGACAGUUUUAAUGUUAUAGUACAUAAUAAUAAUCAGUACUAACAAGAAGGGCUUGCUUCUCUUGUUCACAUCUUGCUUCAAAGAAAGUCAAAGUCUAAUACCCAACUAAGAUUUCCUUGAUAGUUCAGGAGGAAUGGUCCUCACGACCCUGUGAGCUACUGCCAGGAUGGAUCCAGGAUUCUGAGGGAAGAGGGAAGAAGGGAGAAGAAAGCAGGAGAGAAGGCAGAGAGAUCACAGACCAUCAAAAGGGCCCAGAGAGGAGAGCUGUGUAUGACAGAAUGAAGGGAAAAGAAAGGGAAGUCUGGGCCAAUCUUCUGGAAGCUGUGUGUGUGUGUGUGUGUGUGUGCGUGUGUGUGUGUGUGUGUGUGUGAUUGGCUAGAAAUUAUAUUUUUUUUCUGCUAAUAGACUGUUCUACCGAUCCUCAGACCCAAGGAGAUUAUGGGGGGGGGACUACUUGAGGACUUGUUUACUCAUAGGCCCUGGAGGCUCUUUGUGAGAAGCCUUGAAAACUUUAUAAGGGGGUGAUCUCCAGCAGCUCCUUCUGAGGACCGAUUAUUGAAAGACUUACAAGUGAUCAAAUAGACAUAGCUAGUGGAAACUUGGAAACUGAUAAGAGCAAGAAGCAAAACAUUCAUGUGUUUUUCCAUGCUGGGCACCUAUGAGCAACACUAGACUCUCAAGAAAUCUCCAUGAACAGAUGUUUUAGAGCUAGGUAUCAAAACAUUGCAGUAAACCUGUUUGCUGUAAUAGGCAGCACAAUGGCUUCCCAGAGACAUCCAUGAAUGGAUUAGUCAACUUCAGGGUACUAAAAUAAAAUGCCUGAGAUAAUUGACUUACAAGAGAAAAGGUUUACCAUAGCUCACAGAUUUGGAGGUUCCAAUCCGACAUUGAGGGGAUCCAUUGUUUUGAGCCUCUGGUGAGUGCUAGGUAGACAUGGUACAUAGCACACAAUACAGCAAACUUCUCAAUCCAUGUCCAGGAAGUGAAAGAAAGGAAAGAGCUGGGUCCCACAGUCCCACCUGAGGCCACAACUCUGAUGACUGAAGAAAACACAUGAGAUUGUACCUUUAAGAGGCUCCUCUGCUUCCAAAUAGCACCAUCCUGGGGAUAUUCAACAUCCAAAUGAUAGCAAUUGCCUAAACCUUGGAACCUGUUGGUACAUUUAUCUCAUUUGGCAAAGAGACUUUGCAGAUGUAAUUAGCCUAAAAAUUUUGGAAUAGAAAGUUUAGACUGGGCUGUCUGGGUAGCUUCAAUAUAAUUGCAAAGGUCCUUGGAAUUAAAAGAGGAAAGUAGGAAAGUCUGAGUCCGAGAACCAAAUGUGGCACCAAGAGCAGAUGAUGGAAUGAUGUGUUUCUGGCUUUGAAGACAGAGGAAGGUGUCCCCAACCAAAAAAGCCUCUGGAAACUGAAAAAAACAAGAAAACAUAUUUUCCUGAGCCUCCAGCAAGAAUGUAGGCCUGCUGACACUGCGAUUUUAGCCUUGGGAGACCUGAUUAGGAGUUCUGACCUCCGGAACUGUAAGAUAAUAGGUUUGUAUUGUUUAAGCCUCUGAGUUUGUGGUCAGUUCACAUGAAACUGAUCAGCCUGCCUUCAACCAGAUGGUUAUUUCUAAGGAAGAGAUCUGUUUUCACACCCCUGAAGAAUAUGAAAUGUUAACUUGGAAAGACAAAAUAAAGCAUUAUUA